Molecule: transfer RNA, 90 nt
Filed under: Alphaproteobacteria bacterium
Lineage: Bacteria; Pseudomonadati; Pseudomonadota; Alphaproteobacteria
Also listed under: 4 other names
Description: tRNA-Ser
Rfam family: tRNA
About the family: Transfer RNA (tRNA) molecules are approximately 80 nucleotides in length. Their secondary structure includes four short double-helical elements and three loops (D, anti-codon, and T loops).
Source: RNAcentral
GGAGGGAUGGCCGAGUGGUUUAAGGCACUAGUCUUGAAAACUAGCGAGGAUGCAAGUCCUCCGUGGGUUCGAAUCCCACUCCCUCCGCCA